RNAcentral lists this ribosomal RNA (894 nucleotides) under uncultured bacterium. RNAcentral describes it as "bacterial SSU rRNA". It matches the Rfam family "Bacterial small subunit ribosomal RNA", at positions 505 to 1398 of the family's 1533-position model. The record is from RNAcentral.
GUGCCAGCCGCCGCGGUAAUACGGAGGGUGCAAGCGUUAAUCGGAAUUACUGGGCGUAAAGCGCGCGUAGGUGGCUUGAUAAGCCGGUUGUGAAAGCCCCGGGCUCAACCUGGGAACGGCAUCCGGAACUGUCAGGCUAGAGUGCAGGAGAGGAAGGUAGAAUUCCCGGUGUAGCGGUGAAAUGCGUAGAGAUCGGGAGGAAUACCAGUGGCGAAGGCGGCCUUCUGGACUGACACUGACACUGAGGUGCGAAAGCGUGGGUAGCAAACAGGAUUAGAUACCCUGGUAGUCCACGCCGUAAACGAUGUCGACCAGCCGUUGGGUGCCUAGAGCACUUUGUGGCGAAGUUAACGCGAUAAGUCGACCGCCUGGGGAGUACGGCCGCAAGGUUAAAACUCAAAUGAAUUGACGGGGGCCCGCACAAGCGGUGGAGCAUGUGGUUUAAUUCGAUGCAACGCGAAGAACCUUACCUACCCUUGACAUCUACAGAAGCCGGAAGAGAUUCUGGUGUGCCUUCGGGAACUGUAAGACAGGUGCUGCAUGGCUGUCGUCAGCUCGUGUUGUGAAAUGUUGGGUUAAGUCCCGUAACGAGCGCAACCCUUGUCCUUAUUUGCCAGCGAGUAAUGUCGGGAACUCUAAGGAGACUGCCGGUGACAAACCGGAGGAAGGUGGGGACGACGUCAAGUCAUCAUGGCCCUUACGGGUAGGGCUACACACGUGCUACAAUGGCCGGUACAAAGGGCUGCGAGCUCGCGAGAGUCAGCGAAUCCCUUAAAGCCGGUCUCAGUCCGGAUCGGAGUCUGCAACUCGACUCCGUGAAGUCGGAAUCGCUAGUAAUCGUGAAUCAGAAUGUCACGGUGAAUACGUUCCCGGGCCUUGCACACACCGCCCGUC